UGGCGGCGUGCCUAAUACAUGCAAGUCGAACGGUCUUUCUAUGGAAGCUUGCUUCCACUGAGAAGAUAGUGGCGAACGGGUGAGUAACACGUGGGUAAUCUGCCCAUAAGAGGGGGAUAACAUCCGGAAACGGGUGCUAAUACCGCAUAGUUUUCUUGAUCGCAUGAUCGGGAAAGGAAAGACGGCCUUUGUGCUGUCGCUUAUGGAUGGACCCGCGGCGUAUUAGUUAGUUGGUGAGGUAACGGCUCACCAAGACGAUGAUACGUAGCCGACCUGAGAGGGUGAUCGGCCACAUUGGGACUGAGACACGGCCCAAACUCCUACGGGAGGCAGCAGUAGGGAAUCUUCCGCAAUGGACGAAAGUCUGACGGAGCAACGCCGCGUGAGUGAAAGAAGGUUUUCGGAUCGUAAAACUCUGUUGUCAGAGAAGAACAAGUUGGAGAGUAACUGUUCCAGCCUUGACGGUAUCUGACCAGAAAGCCACGGCUAACUACGUGCCAGCAGCCGC
RNAcentral lists this ribosomal RNA (508 nucleotides) under uncultured bacterium. Its description in RNAcentral is "bacterial SSU rRNA". It matches the Rfam family "Bacterial small subunit ribosomal RNA", at positions 37 to 518 of the family's 1533-position model. The record is from RNAcentral.